This 455-nucleotide ribosomal RNA is filed under the name uncultured bacterium. RNAcentral's name for it is "bacterial SSU rRNA". It matches the Rfam family "Bacterial small subunit ribosomal RNA", at positions 339 to 791 of the family's 1533-position model. The record is from RNAcentral.
GUACGGGAGGCAGCAGUGAGGAAUAUUGGACAAUGGAUGGAAAUCUGAUCCAGCCAUGCCGCGUGCAGGAAGACGGCCCUAUGGGUUGUAAACUGCUUUUGUAUGGGAGCAAUAAGGUCUAUGCGUAGACUGAUGAGAGUACCAUACGAAUAAGCAUCGGCUAACUCCGUGCCAGCAGCCGCGGUAAUACGGGGGAUGCAAGCGUUAUCCGGAUUUAUUGGGUUUAAAGGGUGCGUAGGCGGUUUGAUAAGUCAGCGGUGAAAUAUUUCAGCUUAACUGAAAGGGUGCCGUUGAUACUGUCAGGCUUGAAUAUGGUUGCUGUGGGUGGAAUGUGUGGUGUAGCGGUGAAAUGCUUAGAUAUCACACAGAAUAUCGAUUGCGAAGGCAGCUCACAAAGCCAUUAUUGACGCUGAUGCACGAAAGUGUGGGGAUCAAACAGGAUUAGAUACCCUGGU